Molecule: ribosomal RNA, 256 nt
Filed under: uncultured bacterium
Lineage: Bacteria
Description: partial small subunit ribosomal RNA
Rfam family: Bacterial small subunit ribosomal RNA
Source: RNAcentral
AGGACGAACGCUGGCGGCGUGCUUAACACAUGCAAGUCGAGCGGUAAGGCCCUUCGGGGUACACGAGCGGCGAACGGGUGAGUAACACGUGGGUGACCUGCCCUUAGCUCUGGGAUAAGCCUGGGAAACCGGGUCUAAUACCGGAUAGGACUCCAUGACGCAUGUUGUGGGGUGGAAAGCCUUGUGCGGCUAGGGAUGGGCCCGCGGCCUAUCAGCUUGUUGGUGGGGUGAUUGCCUACCAAGGCGACGACGGGUA